ACUCCGACACAUGCUACAAUAUGUUGAACCUUGAAGACAUUAUGCUGUGUGAAAUAAGCCAGUUACAAAAGGACAAAUACUGUCUGAUUCCACGUAUAUGAGGUUCCUAGAGUAGUCAAACUCAUAGAGACAGAAGCAGAAUGCUGGUUGCCAGUGGCUGGGGAGAGGGUAAAUGGAGAGUUAUUGUUUAGUGGGCAUAUAGUUUCAGUUUGCAAAGAUGAAAAAAACCUGGUAGCGAUUGUUGGACAAUGUGAAUGUACUUAAUGCCACAGAACUGUGCGCUUAAAAAUAGUUUAAAUGGUAAAUUUUAUGGCACAUGCAUUUUGUCGAAAUUUUUAAAGGGACUAUGAAGGGUAACUUGUAUGAAAUAAAAUGGUUAGAACUCUCUUGCGGUCCUUUGGAUACAUUCUAAACCUGAGUUGGGGUGUGGGGAGGGGUGGGUUCAGAGAUUUCUUUCCAGAAAGAAAAGAGCCACAACCACUAACACCUCCACUCCCCACCGCGCCAGAACGUUUCCAGCACGGGGAUGCGCUGCGGCAAACCUAGAAGGAACCCAGAAGCGGAAAAUCCUAGAUAAGAGUUCCUGCGGAUGGAACAGCGGGGCGGCUCGGAGACGCAGGAUCCCUCCCUGCUCAGCUGGGGAACUGUCUGCCCUCUAGAGGCGGGUUUGGGUAGCAAUUAAAGAAUGUUUCUCUUUGGGCUCCUUUAAAAAGGGAAAGUAAAGCCAAGAUGGAGGGUACGCGAGAGCACACCGGGUCUUCCGGAAGUUUGCUGCUGAUGAAAGGGGCAAAAAGCGCUGGGAAGUCUCUGCUCUCUCCUUUCUUUCAGAAUGUGAUCGUUUGGAGCCAGAGGGCAUGAAGUGACCGGCUGGCCGCCUUGCCACACCAAGUCAGAGCCGUCCCUAAGAACCCACACCUGCUGUACAGACCCUGAGCUCCUGCUCUUCUUGGGCCUUCAAGGAUAAAGAGAGUACCUGAACCCUGUUUGAAAUAGCACCUUGCUCUUGCUGUGGAAGCUGAAGGGAAAAAACAGAAUCUCCAUUUCGGAUCCUCCCACAGCACAGGAGAGGCGAGGAGGGUGUGAACUGGAGCUGGCUGUGAAGCAAGAUGCCAGACCCCAAAGAACAGCCGAGAAGGUGGUGCUGACUGGCCAGCUCCUGAGGGCCCUGCGGGGCCUCUGGCCUCUUCCCACCGUAAAGGACUAUGGUUCCUGCCCUUUUGCAAACAGAUCCUUUGAACUCACAAAGUCCCAACGGGCCUUCCAAUCAAUUCUCUUUUGUUGAAGACAGCAGGACACCAUUUCUGUUGGUUGAGUCCAAGAACUCUCAAUAUAUGUGAGAGAGCUGGGAUGUUCAAAGAAAAGCUGAACAUUUGUUUAUUUGAGGUUUGUUUAUUUGUGUGUUUUAACUUUCUGGUACACUGCUUGAAACUGGGCUUAUUAUGGUCUAGCAGGACUCGUAGGUCAAACUGCUUUAAAGAAUGGAUAAAAAUGGCUUAUAAGAAAUGCAUCAAUGACAUAUACAUAAGGAGAGCUUAAAAGCUCCUUGCUCUUCUUAAAAUAUUUUAAAAUAAAUUUUUAAAAAAUAAUAUUGUCUCAUUCAUGUAUUUUUGUGCACUCAGCAUUGCCAAAUUCUUGAGAACAUCUUUUUCUUGAGUUAAAAUAAUGGUAAACCAGCUGGUAAAUUUCCUCCAAAUUAUCAAAAACUUUGGAGUUACUAGAAUUAUAGGAAAUGAGAUUUAAUGUAAAGACAACUUAAUGUGUUAUAAGUUUUAGCUCAAGCCUUUUUUUUUUUCUCAUACUGAAAAAGGUACAUGCUUCCUGUGGAAUAUUGAGAAAUACCUAUAAACACACAAUCUAGUAGCUGUCAUUGUAACUGUAGGAGGGGCAGCAGUAGCCUGUGAGGAUAUGACAGGGGAGUGAUCCCUCUGAGAAGGCCUUGAGGGGGCUCUCAGGCACACGCUCUGGGAAAGAGGUGAGGGCAGGGCAUGCCCGUGGGAAGCUAAGUGUACACCCUGCUUAGCUCUAUACCUGCUCUUCUAUCCCCACAGAAAAGACACUAAGGAGAGGCUCUUGCCAGAAAAAGAAAAAAAAAAAAACAUUAGAGGAACUUACAAACC
This is a non-coding RNA of Chlorocebus sabaeus (green monkey), 2117 nucleotides long. NCBI's taxonomy places the organism in Eukaryota, Metazoa, Chordata, Mammalia, Primates, Cercopithecidae. The record is from RefSeq and is a predicted model, not a curated record.